This 321-nucleotide ribosomal RNA is filed under the name uncultured eukaryote. Its description in RNAcentral is "partial 18S ribosomal RNA". It matches the Rfam family "Eukaryotic small subunit ribosomal RNA", at positions 1470 to 1796 of the family's 1831-position model. The record is from RNAcentral.
CCCUUAGAUGUUCUGGGCCGCACGCGUGCUACACUGAGUGGAUCAGCGGGUUAGGUUGCGCGAAAGCGUUUCCUAAUCUUUAAAUCCGCUCGUGAUGGGAUUGACGGUUGCAAUUUUCUGUCAUGAACGAGGAAUACCUUGUAAGCGCGGGUCAUCAUCCCGCGCUGAGUACGUCCCUGCCCUUUGUACACACCGCCCGUCGCUCCUACCGAUUGAGUGGUCCGGUGAGGCUUUGGGAUCUGAGCGGAAAGAGCGUUUCGCUGUUUCUGCUCGGAAAACUCAGUCGAACCUUAUCAUUUAGAGGAAGGAGAAGUCGUAACA